This 1280-nucleotide unclassified non-coding RNA is filed under the name Hevea brasiliensis (rubber tree). The record is from RNAcentral. Lineage: Eukaryota; Viridiplantae; Streptophyta; Magnoliopsida; Malpighiales; Euphorbiaceae.
GAUACCACCAUCAAGUAGCAGUAUUUCCAUGUUAAUAUUCAUGAGUUUUCAUUUAAAAAAAUUAUAAAAAUAUUUAAUGUACAACUUUUGAGAUUGACAAUAUUUAUUUUCUUUCCAUCUCAACUUCCAUAAUAAAAUUCUUAAUCAAAUAACUAUAAUUAAAAUCUAAAAACCAUGGCUAACAGCAGCUUCAGAUCUCCAAUGCCUUGCUUUCUCAAACCCAUUAACAAAAUUCUCAAAAUCACCAAUUGUUUGAUCAAUCUCUUCUUGAGUGUUCAUCACAAAUGGCCCCCAUUGCGCUAAAGGCUCACCUAUUGGUUCUCCUCCAACCAAAAUGAACCUUAGGGUUUUGGAUGACCUGUUCCAAGCCUCCAACCCAUCUCCAUUCCCUAGAAGGAGGAGGUGGUGAGCUGAUACUGGCAAAGAUUUUGAAUUUCCAAAGAUGCCUUCACCUUCCAAGACAUAGACAAAAGCAUUCCAAGCUAAGGGUAUGGGUUGUUCAAGGUGAGCUCCUGGUUUCAGACUGAAAUCCAUGUACAUGGUAGGGGUCCUUGUGUAGACUGGGGAUUUUGUCCCCAAGGCUUCUCCUGCUAUCACCCUAACCUUGAUCCCAUCUUUUGAUGCUUCUGCUAUGUCCUUGCUGGAUAUUUCUUGAUAUCUAGGCUCAAUCAUCUUAUGUUUUGAGGAGAGGUUGAUCCACAGCUGCAGACCCUUCUGGGUUCCUUGAGCUGCAGGCAUCUCAGAGUGAACAAUCCCUCUUCCUGCAGUCAUCCAUUGCAAGUCACCAGUACAUAUGGUCCCCUUGUGCCCUUCAAAAUCUUCAUGUGUCAUAGCUCCCUGCAACAUGUAGGUAACUGUCUCGAAUCCUCUGUGUGGAUGAUCAGGGAAACCAGCUGGGGCAGUAACAGAGAACUCAUCCAAAACAAGGAAAGGAUCAAAGUACUUCAAUUCAAACCUUCCUAUGCUCCUUCUAACAAUGGCUCCAACUCCUUCAUGUUGAGGCCUAGCCAAGAACUUCCUAACCACCUGGCGUGGUUCUUCAAGAACACCAGAAUUCUCUCUUUGAGGCAUUUCUUUUCUUCUCUAUAAAAAUAAAUAAAGCUAUAACAGUAACUACAGAUUUCAAAUGUGAGAAGCUAAGAGAAAGGUUUGAAACGUAUAUAUAGAUUAUUUGCAGAGCGGUAUAACUUAGCUGCUUUGUUUGGAAGGUCAAAGGAAAGUUUUAGGUGGCCCACAUGGGGAGUUUUCCUUGAGCUCAAGCGAGGGGAAGGGACCUUCUG